CACGUAGGGUGCGAGCGUUGUCCGGAAUUACUGGGCGUAAAGAGCUCGUAGGUGGUUUGUCGCGUUGUUCGUGAAAACUCACAGCUUAACUGUGGGCGUGCGGGCGAUACGGGCAGACUGGAGUACUGCAGGGGAGACUGGAAUUCCUGGUGUAGCGGUGGAAUGCGCAGAUAUCAGGAGGAACACCGGUGGCGAAGGCGGGUCUCUGGGCAGUAACUGACGCUGAGGAGCGAAAGCGUGGGGAGCGAACAGG
This 253-nucleotide ribosomal RNA is filed under the name uncultured bacterium. Its description in RNAcentral is "partial 16S ribosomal RNA". It matches the Rfam family "Bacterial small subunit ribosomal RNA", at positions 524 to 776 of the family's 1533-position model. The record is from RNAcentral.